GCAUUGGUGGUUCAGUGGUAGAGCUCUUGCCUUCCAUAUAGGGGACAUGGGUUUGAUUCCCACCAAUGCA
Molecule: transfer RNA, 70 nt
Filed under: Loxodonta africana (African savanna elephant)
Lineage: Eukaryota; Metazoa; Chordata; Mammalia; Proboscidea; Elephantidae
Rfam family: tRNA
About the family: Transfer RNA (tRNA) molecules are approximately 80 nucleotides in length.
Source: Rfam by way of RNAcentral